This 872-nucleotide ribosomal RNA is filed under the name uncultured Streptococcus sp. RNAcentral describes it as "bacterial SSU rRNA". It matches the Rfam family "Bacterial small subunit ribosomal RNA", at positions 31 to 885 of the family's 1533-position model. Lineage: Bacteria; Bacillati; Bacillota; Bacilli; Lactobacillales; Streptococcaceae. The record is from RNAcentral.
GAACGCUGGCGGCGUGCCUAAUACAUGCAAGUAGAACACUGAAGAGAGGAGCUUGCUCUUCUUGGAUGAGUUGCGAACGGGUGAGUAACGCGUAGGUAACCUGCCUUGUAGCGGGGGUUAACUAUUGGAAACGAUAACUAAUACCGCAUAACAAUGGGUGACACAUGUCAUUUAUUUGAAAGGGGCAAUUGCUCCACUACAAGAUGGACCUGCGUUGUACUAGCUAGUAGGUGAGGUAACGGCUCACCUAGGCGACGAUACAUAGCCGACCUGAGAGGGUGAUCGGCCACACUGGGACUGAGACACGGCCCAGACUCCUACGGGAGGCAGCAGUAGGGAAUCUUCGGCAAUGGGGGCAACCCUGACCGAGCAACGCCGCGUGAGUGAAGAAGGUUUUCGGAUCGUAAAGCUCUGUUGUAAGUCAAGAACGAGUGUGAGAGUGGAAAGUUCACACUGUGACGGUAGCUUACCAGAAAGGGACGGCUAACUACGUGCCAGCAGCCGCGGUAAUACGUAGGUCCCGAGCGUUGUCCGGAUUUAUUGGGCGUAAAGCGAGCGCAGGCGGUUUGAUAAGUCUGAAGUUAAAGGCUGUGGCUCAACCAUAGUUCGCUUUGGAAACUGUCAAACUUGAGUGCAGAAGGGGAGAGUGGAAUUCCAUGUGUAGCGGUGAAAUGCGUAGAUAUAUGGAGGAACACCGGUGGCGAAAGCGGCUCUCUGGUCUGUAACUGACGCUGAGGCUCGAAAGCGUGGGGAGCGAACAGGAUUAGAUACCCUGGUAGUCCACGCCGUAAACGAUGAGUGCUAGGUGUUGGAUCCCUUCCGGGAUUCAGUGCCGCAGCUAACGCAUUAAGCACUCCGCCUGGGGAGUACGA